Molecule: ribosomal RNA, 634 nt
Filed under: uncultured Lysobacteraceae bacterium
Lineage: Bacteria; Pseudomonadati; Pseudomonadota; Gammaproteobacteria; Lysobacterales; Lysobacteraceae
Description: bacterial SSU rRNA
Rfam family: Bacterial small subunit ribosomal RNA
Source: RNAcentral
AUUGAACGCUGGCGGCAUGCCUAACACAUGCAAGUCGAACGGCAGCACAGCAGAGCUUGCUCUGUGGGUGGCGAGUGGCGGACGGGUGAGUAAUACAUCGGGACCUACCCAGACGUGGGGGAUAACCUCGGGAAACCGGGACUAAUACCGCAUACGUCCUACGGGAGAAAGCGGGGGACCUUCGGGCCUCGCGCGUUUGGACGGACCGAUGUUCGAUUAGCUUGUUGGUGGGGUAAAGGCCUACCAAGGCGACGAUCGAUAGCUGGUCUGAGAGGAUGAUCAGCCACAUUGGGACUGAGACACGGCCCAAACUCCUACGGGAGGCAGCAGUGGGGAAUAUUGGACAAUGGGCGCAAGCCUGAUCCAGCAAUGCCGCGUGUGUGAAGAAGGCCCUCGGGUUGUAAAGCACUUUUAUCAGGAACGAAAUCGGCAGGGUUAAUAGCCAUGUCGUCUGACGGUACCUGAGGAAUAAGCACCGGCUAACUUCGUGCCAGCAGCCGCGGUAAUACGAAGGGUGCAAGCGUUAAUCGGAAUUACUGGGCGUAAAGGGUGCGUAGGCGGUUAGUUAAGUCUGUUGUGAGAUCCCCGGGCUCAACCUGGGAAUGGCAAUGGAUACUGGCUGGCUAGAGUGUGU